AGCCUUAUAGUCUAAUAAGGAUAAUAAACUGCAAAUUUAUUGGUGGGGUAAACCUAAGGCUU
RNAcentral lists this transfer RNA (62 nucleotides) under Eupatorus sukkiti. RNAcentral's name for it is "tRNA-Cys". The record is from RNAcentral. Lineage: Eukaryota; Metazoa; Arthropoda; Insecta; Coleoptera; Scarabaeidae.